CAGCCGCCGCGGUAAUACGGAGGGUGCAAGCGUUAAUCGGAAUUACUGGGCGUAAAGCGCACGCAGGCGGUCUGUCAAGUCGGAUGUGAAAUCCCCGGGCUCAACCUGGGAACUGCAUUCGAAACUGGCAGGCUAGAGUCUUGUAGAGGGGGGUAGAAUUCCAGGUGUAGCGGUGAAAUGCGUAGAGAUCUGGAGGAAUACCGGUGGCGAAGGCGGCCCCCUGGACAAAGACUGACGCUCAGGUGCGAAAGCGUGGGGAGCAAACAGGAUUAGAUACCCCCGGUAGUCCCUGUCUCUUAUA
Molecule: ribosomal RNA, 301 nt
Filed under: uncultured bacterium
Lineage: Bacteria
Description: partial 16S ribosomal RNA
Rfam family: Bacterial small subunit ribosomal RNA
Source: RNAcentral